ACGGCUCAGUAACACGUGGACAACCUGCCCUUAGGUUGGGUAUAAACCCGGGAAACUGGGUAUAAUACCCGAUAGGUCUCGAUUGCUGGAAUGCAUCGAGAUUUAAAGCUCCGGCGCCUAAGGAUGGGUCUGCGGCCUAUCAGGUAGUAGUGGGUGUAGCGUACCUACUAGCCUACGACGGGUACGGGUUGUGAGAGCAAGAGCCCGGAGAUGGAUUCUGAGACACGAAUCCAGGCCCUACGGGGUGCAGCAGGCGCGAAAACUUGACAAUGCUGGCAACAGCGAUAAGGGAACCUCGAGUGCCAGGUUACAAAUCUGGCUGUCGAGAUGCCUAAAAAGCAUUUCAUAGCAAGGGCCGGGCAAGACCGGUGCCAGCCGCCGCGGUAACACCGGCGGCUCGAGUGGUAACCGUUAUUAUUGGGUCUAAAGGGUCUGUAGCCGGCCGGAUAAGUCUCUUGAGAAAUCUGGCAGCUUAACUGUCAGGCUUUCAGGAGAUACUGUCUGGCUCGAGGCCGGGAGAGGUGAGAGGUACUUCAGGGGUAGGGGUGAAAUCUUGUAAUCCUUGAAGGACCACCAGUGGCGAAGGCGUCUCACCAGAACGGACCUGACGGCAAGGGACGAAAGCUAGGAGCACGAACCGGAUUAGAUACCCGGGUAGUCCUAGCCGUAAACGAUACUCGCUAGGUGUCGGCCACGGUGCGACCGUUGUCGGUGCCGUAGGGAAGCCGUGAAGCGAGCCACCUGGGAAGUACGGCCGCAAGGCUGAAACUUAAAGGAAUUGGCGGGGGAGCACCACAACGGGUGGAGCUUGCGGUUUAAUUGGAUUCAACGCCGGAAAUCUUACCGGGACCGACAGCAAUAUGAAGGCCAGGCUGAAGACUUUGCCGGAUUAGCUGAGAGGUGGUGCAUGGCCGUCGUCAGUUCGUACUGUGAAGCAUCCUGUUAAGUCAGGCAACGAGCGAGACCCCAAUC
Molecule: ribosomal RNA, 972 nt
Filed under: uncultured archaeon
Lineage: Archaea
Description: bacterial SSU rRNA
Rfam family: Archaeal small subunit ribosomal RNA
Source: RNAcentral